GACGAACGCUGGCGGCGUGCUUAACACAUGCAAGUCGAACGGAAAGGCCCUGCUUUUGUGGGGUGCUCGAGUGGCGAACGGGUGAGUAACACGUGAGUAACCUGCCCUUGACUUUGGGAUAACUUCAGGAAACUGGGGCUAAUACCGGAUAGGAGCUCCUGCUGCAUGGUGGGGGUUGGAAAGUUUCGGCGGUUGGGGAUGGACUGGCGGCUUAUCAGCUUGUUGGUGGGGUAGUGGCUUACCAAGGUUUUGACGGGUAGCCGGCCUGAGAGGGUGACCGGCCACAUUGGGACUGAGGUACGGCGCAGACUCCUACGGGAGGCAGCAGUGGGGAAUAUUGCACAAUGGGCGGAAGCCUGAUGCAGCAACGCCGCGUGCGGGAUGACGGCCUUCGGGUUGUAAACCGCUUUCGCCUGUGACGAAGCGUGAGUGACGGUAAUGGGUAAAGAAGCACCGGCUAACUACGUG
Molecule: ribosomal RNA, 468 nt
Filed under: uncultured bacterium
Lineage: Bacteria
Description: partial 16S ribosomal RNA
Rfam family: Bacterial small subunit ribosomal RNA
Source: RNAcentral